This 253-nucleotide ribosomal RNA is filed under the name uncultured bacterium. Its description in RNAcentral is "partial 16S ribosomal RNA". It matches the Rfam family "Bacterial small subunit ribosomal RNA", at positions 524 to 776 of the family's 1533-position model. The record is from RNAcentral.
UACGUAGGGAGCAAGCGUUAUCCGGAUUUACUGGGUGUAAAGGGCGUGUAGGCGGGCCUGUAAGUUGGGAGUGAAAUCCGGGGGCUUAACCCCCGAACUGCUUUCAAAACUGCGGGUCUUGAGUGAUGGAGAGGCAGGCGGAAUUCCGUGUGUAGCGGUGAAAUGCGUAGAUAUACGGAGGAACACCAGUGGCGAAGGCGGAUUGCUGGACAGUAACUGACGCUGAGGCGCGAAAGCGUGGGGAGCAAACAGG